AUGCGGCCUGAUGGCGGGCGGGCGCAUGUCGGCGCUGUCGCUGCCGAUCGAUGCCGGGGCGUCGGUGGAGUUCAAGCCGUUCCGGGCGCGUAC
RNAcentral lists this transfer RNA (93 nucleotides) under Actinomadura coerulea. Its description in RNAcentral is "tRNA-Asp". The record is from RNAcentral. Lineage: Bacteria; Bacillati; Actinomycetota; Actinomycetes; Streptosporangiales; Thermomonosporaceae.